UGCAUCUGAAUGGGAGAGAAGAAAAAGAGAGGACAAAUCAAACAGUGGAUACAGCAUAUGAAAAGCUCCAUGCUGCUGGAUUAAGCUUCAGUACAUCAAGUCUGCUGCUCCCUGAAGCAUUCAUAACAUAUACAUCAAAUAGUGCAUUUGGAGAAUUAAGGAGACAGUUUCAUAUGAGAAGAUCCAUCCCCUAAGAUGUGCAGGGACCAACACAAGACUGCAACUAUGCCUUCGGACAAGUUGAAGAUAUACUGGGCUGCUGGCUGAUAGGUUGGUUGAAUUUCUGCUUGCUUGCUUAAUGUAGCUUCUGCCAGUUUAUAGACAUUUAUUGAAUACAUUCAGAUUGGUAAGAGAUUUAUAAUGUUAAAUUGACAGAUUAUUAUCCAGCCCUACACACUAAUACUUGUGUUUUGGAGGUACUUUGCAAUAGGUAAUGCAAAAUGGCAAGUCUCUAUUUAAAAAUCAGCACAAUUGUGUUUUCAUGAUGAUACUUUGUUUUUAUAUAAUGAACAAGGCUGGGUAUCAAACCUUAUGUUUAAGGUCUGACAGAAAUGUGUCUGUGGACUAGAAUAUAAAAAAUUGUUGAGCACUGAAAAAUGGCAUCUAAUCUCUGGUCAGAUUCAUAAUCUUGUUUACACGUGAUCAGUUAGUUCCCGAUUUUAAUCAAAAUUUUGCCAAUUUUAAACUGUAUUUAUUUGCCAACACAUGCCAAAACUUCUGUGUUGCCUUUUGUGAAAUCUUAUUAAAUGUCCCUUCUGUUAAAACCA
Molecule: long non-coding RNA, 767 nt
Organism: Sander lucioperca (pikeperch)
Lineage: Eukaryota; Metazoa; Chordata; Actinopteri; Perciformes; Percidae
Exons: 2
Source: RefSeq, a predicted model, not a curated record